AGAGCGGGAGCCUGGAGAUGGGCACUGAGACAAGGGCCCAGGCCCUACGGGGCGCAGCAGUUGCGAAAACUCCGCAAUGCACGAAAGUGUGACGGGGCUACCCCGAGUGUCGUCCGCUGAGGGCGACUUUUCCCUGGUGUAAGGAGCCGGGGGAAUAAGGAGAGGGCAAGUCUGGUGUCAGCCGCCGCGGUAAUACCAGCUCUCCGAGUGGUGAGGACGAUUAUUGGGCUUAAAGCGUUCGUAGCCGGCUUAACAAGUCUUCCGUUAAAUCCAACGAUCUAAUCGUUGGGCCGCGGAAGAUACUGUUGAGCUAGGAGGCGGGAGAAGCCGACGGUAUUCUCGGGGUAGGGGUGAAAUCCUGUAAUCCCGGGAGGACCACCAGUGGCGAAGGCGGUCGGCU
RNAcentral lists this ribosomal RNA (400 nucleotides) under uncultured archaeon. Its description in RNAcentral is "bacterial SSU rRNA". It matches the Rfam family "Archaeal small subunit ribosomal RNA", at positions 279 to 681 of the family's 1478-position model. The record is from RNAcentral.